GACGAACGCUGGCGGCGUGCCUAAUACAUGCAAGUCGAACGAAGCUGUUUUAACUGGUGCUUGCACCGACUUAAACAACUGAGUGGCGAACGGGUGAGUAACACGUGGGUAACCUGCCCCAAAGCGGGGGAUAACAUUUGGAAACAGAUGCUAAUACCGCAUAACCACAGAAACCACAUGGUUUCUGUGUCAAAGAUGGCUUCGGCUAUCACUUUGGGAUGGACCCGCGGCGUAUUAGCUAGUUGGUAAGGUAAUGGCUUACCAAGGCAAUGAUACGUAGCCGAACUGAGAGGUUGAUCGGCCACAUUGGGACUGAGACACGGCCCAAACUCCUACGGGAGGCAGCAGUAGGGAGUCUUCCACAAUGGACGAAAGUCUGAUGGAGCAACGCCGCGUGAGUGAAGAAGGUUUUCGGAUCGUAAAACUCUGUUGUCAGAGAAGAACGUGUGCGAGAGUAACUGUUCGUGCAGUGACGGUAUCUGGCCAGAAAGCCACGGCUAACUACGUGCCAGCCGCCGCCGUAA
This 524-nucleotide ribosomal RNA is filed under the name uncultured bacterium. RNAcentral describes it as "partial 16S ribosomal RNA". It matches the Rfam family "Bacterial small subunit ribosomal RNA", at positions 28 to 523 of the family's 1533-position model. The record is from RNAcentral.